This 1180-nucleotide long non-coding RNA is filed under the name Equus caballus (horse). RNAcentral's name for it is "lncRNA (ENSECAG00000040365.2)". Lineage: Eukaryota; Metazoa; Chordata; Mammalia; Perissodactyla; Equidae. The record is from RNAcentral.
GCCAAACUAAGAGAACGAUUUUUUUUUCCUAUGUAGCAUACAGAAACACACUUCCCAAGUUAAAGUAGAUUUUUAAAAGGCUGUAUCAUGUAAUGUUUUGUCACCAGUGAGAUUAGUGAGUUGGGAAAUGUAAUGGAAUUAGAAAAAAACCUGGGAAAGAAGGUGGUGAUAAGUGUUGGUUGCCAGUGACCAGAAGAAUCAGAUUUCUGCUAACAUUCUCAGUUCUUCCAAAGCCACUUCUCUUCAUCCUUCACUGACAAUUUGGAUGCAUACUGAAGAGGGCAUGAUGAAAAUCUCUGACCUGGUUUUGCAGUCAUGAGAGGUUUGGAGAGCGGCAAUUAAGAUCUAAACAUUUACUUGAUGUUUCAGUGAAGAAUUUCAACUUUAUGAGCCGCUUAACCAAAGUUAAGUAAUUUUUAUUUACUUUCUUUUUUGGAUCUUUGCAUACACUAACAUAUUGCUGUUUUUUAUAACCUGGCUCGUCAACCUCUGUGCAAGUUCUGAGGAGGUGGGGAGCUUUCCUGUGACCCAUUUUCAUCCUUUGAACCUAGACCAGCAACAGGCGUGCUCGUUAUUGUCGCUAUUUCUAAAAUGCACAAACAUUAUCACCAGGUAAAAGCCAGAUCCAUACCAAUGAAGUGAUCCUUCUACCAAUCAGAAAGUACUUGCCUAAAGUGAAUAUAACCUGACGUGGAAGUUAAAUUGCUGGUUCUGGAGAUGGCAGAGUAGGACAAGUGUGAGUGGAAAUUACAGGGAUGUAGAUUUUCCCUCCAUCUGAGGAAGAGCUUGGCAAUAAGUAGCUGUUGAAUUCCUGCUUCACGAUGGAGAAGGAGUUUCCUGUCUCUUGGAUGGAUUUUCGGGAGUCACAGAAGAGAUUAUUGUAUUGUUAGAUGCUCUAUCCUUCCCUCCCUUCCGUUUUCUCUGUCAUCUGUCUUCCUUUUUCAUCCCUUCCAUUUCUCCCUCCCUUUCCUUCCCUUCCCCCCUCUUCCUACUCACUCCUCACACGUGUAUUAAAUUCCUAUGGAGCAUCAGAUACUUUCCUUCUUAAUGUAAAGGUCUGUAAUCAAGAAUGGUGGAAGGGAAGAGCCUGGGUCCCUGAAGAGAUCACAGAACAGAGCUGCCAUAGCCAUCCUACAUUGCCUCCCUUUAGACCUUUAGGGAGAGAAAAAUAAAAGUCUAU